CAGUCGCCACGGGAAUACAGAGGGUGCGAGCGUUAAUCGGAUUUACUGGGCGUAAAGCGUGCGUAGGCGGCUUUUUAAGUCGGAUGUGAAAUCCCUGAGCUUAACUUAGGAAUUGCAUUCGAUACUGGGAAGCUAGAGUAUGGGAGAGGAUGGUAGAAUUCCAGGUGUAGCGGUGAAAUGCGUAGAGAUCUGGAGGAAUACAGAUGGCGAAGGCAGCCAUCUGGCCUAAUACUGACGCUGAGGUACGAAAGCAUGGGGAGCAAACAGGAUUAGAUACCCCGGUAGUCCCUGUCUCUUAUAC
Molecule: ribosomal RNA, 301 nt
Filed under: uncultured bacterium
Lineage: Bacteria
Description: partial 16S ribosomal RNA
Rfam family: Bacterial small subunit ribosomal RNA
Source: RNAcentral